UUUCCACAGCUCAGCGAGGUAUACAACAGGAAAUUACUCCUCAAACACAAAGCAUGGCGUUGAAGCUAAAAGUUAUGAAGCGUUGGGAGAAGCAGCCAAAUUGAAACCACUUGAAGUAGAGCUGCAGCGUCUUGAGGACCUUAGUGAAAGCAUUGUACAAGAUUUCUCAUACAUGAGGCAGCGUGAGGAGGAAAUGAGAGACACCAAUGAGUCAACAAACUCCAGAGUAUUGUACCUGUCCCUCUUCUCUCUCUGUUGCCUCAUUGGUUUAGCCACUUGGCAGGUU
This is a long non-coding RNA of Macrobrachium nipponense, 286 nucleotides long. RefSeq lists it as uncharacterized. The record is from RefSeq and is a predicted model, not a curated record. Lineage: Eukaryota; Metazoa; Arthropoda; Malacostraca; Decapoda; Palaemonidae. The transcript has 3 exons.